RNAcentral lists this long non-coding RNA (850 nucleotides) under Homo sapiens (human). RNAcentral's name for it is "non-protein coding lnc-PEX7-1:5". Lineage: Eukaryota; Metazoa; Chordata; Mammalia; Primates; Hominidae. The record is from RNAcentral.
AUAUUCUGGAGCAGCUCAUGGGCCUAGCAUUUCACGGACCAUAUUUUGGGCAGUGCUGCUACAGCAGAAAGGAAAUGGGUGACCUCUUCCUUGCUGGUAAUAGUAAGGUUGUCUGAGAGAAGAAAGGUUUGAAGGGGGGCCCAAACACCAAACUGCUUUUGAGUCAUUCCUGGGGAAGGUCAAGGUCUAUAGUGUGCCUUGUUUCACUUUAGAGUCAACAUCUCGCUAUUUGGGGGGAACGGACUUUAGAACAGAAAAAAAUAGCUGCUUGGGAGAAAGAGUUUCACUGCUAUGAGAUGUCAAGUCCCUAAAGUUAAAUGUUACUGAUGGAAGAAUACAGCUGAAGAAGAGCUCUUGGCUUGACUGAGUAGCUGAUCUCUUUACAAGAAGGGAUACAAGCCCUGCAGUGGAACUCACUGCUGAUCCUUCAGACUUGUCUUUCUAGGUUUAUCCUGCAGACCUUAUCACUGCAUAGCAGUAGUUCACGCUAACAUACAACUGCACAUGUCUGCUCUCAGAAAGCCUUUCACCUGGCCAAAGACAAGGCAACCAUGCUCCCCAAAGACGCUCGCCCACCUUUACUACAAAAUUGAACGUCCACACCCCUCCAGGUUACAUGGAUAGAAACAACUUUGUUUGCUGUAUCUUCACAAUAAUAGAGUUGUCUGCGAUCUCUUUACAUUGUCAAUAAGAAGAUGCCCUGCACCAGCUGUUCAAGCUAAGGGCUUGUCAUGUGCAAAUCACAUAUACCAACUGCAUUGUUACAGAACAGGAGCUGAAACAUCUUGUUGGUGUUGGUGUGCUUUGUGUGUGUAUAGUAGCAUUUGAAUAAACUUAAACUACAGGGUGA